AGGCACUCACCGCCUGCCACAAUCAUCGGUAGGUCGACCGUCUGGACCUCGGAUCAGGCCAGGCUACCCGCUGAAUUUAAGCAUAUUAAUAAGCGGAGGAAAAGAAACUAACCAGGA
This 117-nucleotide ribosomal RNA is filed under the name Vaceletia sp. QMG318578. Its description in RNAcentral is "partial 28S ribosomal RNA". The stretch from base 44 to 117 matches the Rfam family "Eukaryotic large subunit ribosomal RNA", at positions 1 to 74 of the family's 3401-position model. The record is from RNAcentral. Lineage: Eukaryota; Metazoa; Porifera; Demospongiae; Dictyoceratida; Verticillitidae.